Molecule: ribosomal RNA, 489 nt
Filed under: uncultured bacterium
Lineage: Bacteria
Description: bacterial SSU rRNA
Rfam family: Bacterial small subunit ribosomal RNA
Source: RNAcentral
GACGAACGCUGGCGGCGUGCUUAAUACAUGCAAGUCAACUGAACUUAAGAUAGCAAUAUUUUAAGGGAGGUGGCGCACGGGUGAGUAACACGUAGGUAAUCUGCCUUUAGGUCUGACACAACCCCGAGAAAUCGGGGCUAAUAUCAGAUGAUGCAGCGGCUCGACAUCGAGACAGUUGUUAAACCUUCGGGGCCUAAAGAUGAGCCUGCGUCUGAUUAGCUGGUUGGCGGGGUAACGGCCCACCAAGGCAACGAUCAGUAGCUGGUCUGAGAGGAUGAUCAGCCACACUGGAACUGAGACACGGUCCAGACUCCUACGGGAGGCAGCAGUAAGGAAUAUUGCUCAAUGGCCGAAAGGCUGAAGCAGCAACGCCGCGUGGAGGAUGAAAUACUUUUGUAUGUAAACUCCUGUGAGAAGGGAAAAUAUGCAGAUUUUCUGCGUUGAUUGUACCUUCAGAGGAAGCCCCGGCUAACUACGUGCCAGCAGCCG